RNAcentral lists this ribosomal RNA (609 nucleotides) under Elaphomyces sp. LM34. RNAcentral describes it as "eukaryotic LSU rRNA". The stretch from base 219 to 372 matches the Rfam family "5.8S ribosomal RNA". The record is from RNAcentral. Lineage: Eukaryota; Fungi; Ascomycota; Eurotiomycetes; Eurotiales; Elaphomycetaceae.
CAUUACCGAGUACGGGUCCCUAUCCCCUUCCCGGGGGGUGGGGGCCCAGACCUCCCACCCUUGUCGAUCGUAUCCGUGUUGCUUCGGCGGGCCCGCCACGGUUGGCCGCCAGCAGGGGGGUUUGCGGAUGCUGCCCCCGGGCCCGUGCCCGCCGGAGACCUCUCUCGAAAUGCUACUGUGGUCAGGAAUGCUGUCUGAGUGGUGAGAAAUUGAUCAAAAACUUUCAACAAUGGAUCUCUUGGUUCCGGCAUCGAUGAAGAACGCAGCGAAAUGCGAUAAGUAAUGCGAAUUGCAGAAUUCCGUGAGUCAUCGAAUCUUUGAACGCACAUUGCGCCCCCCGGCUUCCCGGGGGGCAUGCCUGUCCGAGCGUCAUUGCCAUCCCCUCAAGCUCUGCUUGGCUUGUUGGGCCGGCGUCCUCCCACGACAGGAGGACGGGCCCGAAAGGCAGUGGCGGCACCCGGGGACUUGGUCCUUCGGGCGGUGAUGCAUGGGUCUCUUCAUCCACCGUCCGGCUGGCCAUGCCCCGGGAGCCUGUCGAACGAUCGGUCUUCCCCUUUAGGUUGACCUCGGAUCAGGUAGGGAUACCCGCUGAACUUAAGCAUAUCAAUA